This 78-nucleotide small nucleolar RNA is filed under the name Nicotiana sylvestris (wood tobacco). RNAcentral's name for it is "Small nucleolar RNA R160". It matches the Rfam family "Small nucleolar RNA R160". From Rfam's summary of the family: snoR160 is a C/D box small nucleolar RNA, which acts as a methylation guide for 25S ribosomal RNA in plants. snoR160 has been alternatively named snoZ270 in rice. RNAcentral also lists the same sequence under 1 other name. The record is from Rfam by way of RNAcentral. Lineage: Eukaryota; Viridiplantae; Streptophyta; Magnoliopsida; Solanales; Solanaceae.
AGCAAAAUGAUGAUGAACUAUUAGCCUAAUUUUAUGCUGAAGAAACAUAUGAUAUGCCUUCAAAGUUCUCUGAUUGAC